AGAGUUUGAUCCUGGCUCAGGAUGAACGCUGGCGGCGUGCCUAAUACAUGCAAGUCGAGCGAACCACUUCGGUGGGAAGCGGCGAACGGGUGAGUAACACGUAGGUGAUCUGCCCAUCAGACGGGGACAACGAUUGGAAACGAUCGCUAAUACCGGAUAGGACGAAAGUUUAAAGAUGCUCCUGGCAUCACUGAUGGAUGAGCCUGCGGCGCAUUAGCUAGUUGGUGGGGUAAAGGCCUACCAAGGCGACGAUGCGUAGCCGACCUGAGAGGGUGAACGGCCACACUGGGACUGAGACACGGCCCAGACUCCUACGGGAGGCAGCAGUAGGGAAUCUUCGGCAAUGGGCGAAAGCCUGACCGAGCAACGCCGCGUGAAUGAAGAAGGCCUUCGGGUUGUAAAAUUCUGUUAUAAGGGAAGAAAGGUGAUAGGAGGAAAUGACUAUCAAUUGACGGUACCUUAUGGGAAAGCCACGGCUAACUACGUG
RNAcentral lists this ribosomal RNA (487 nucleotides) under uncultured Turicibacter sp. RNAcentral describes it as "bacterial SSU rRNA". It matches the Rfam family "Bacterial small subunit ribosomal RNA", at positions 8 to 507 of the family's 1533-position model. Lineage: Bacteria; Bacillati; Bacillota; Erysipelotrichia; Erysipelotrichales; Turicibacteraceae. The record is from RNAcentral.